GUACUUAUAGCUCAAUGGUAGAGCAGAAUAUUGUUAAUAUUUGUAUAGGUGUUCGAUUCAUCUUAAGGGCU
This 71-nucleotide transfer RNA is filed under the name Talaromyces rugulosus. Its description in RNAcentral is "Penicillium rugulosum tRNA". It matches the Rfam family "tRNA". From Rfam's summary of the family: Transfer RNA (tRNA) molecules are approximately 80 nucleotides in length. Their secondary structure includes four short double-helical elements and three loops (D, anti-codon, and T loops). Lineage: Eukaryota; Fungi; Ascomycota; Eurotiomycetes; Eurotiales; Trichocomaceae. The record is from Rfam by way of RNAcentral.